AUUUAAAUAGAGAAAAAGAAAAUGUUGGCUAUAUUCCACAAAGCUUUUGCUAACCCACCAGAUGAGCUCAACAGUCCUGCAUCUCAGAAGGUUAAUAAGAAGCCUAAGCUUCCGCAAGAGACUCUUGAUGAGUUCCUUUCUCAUUAUCCUGACAACACUUUCUCCAUGAGCUUCGGUGAAGCUGCUGUGCUUGCCUAUGUUCGCCCUGACAACAAUUUCUCACAUCAUCAAAGGUUUUUUUGUGGGUUUGAGGAUAUAUACUGCCUGUUCUUGGGGAGCUUGGACAACUUGUGUGUACUGAAUAGGCAAUAUGGUUUGACAAAGGGGACUAAUGAGGCCAUGUUUGUGAUCGAAGCUUAUCGGACACUUCGUGAUAGGGGUCCAUACCCUGCUGAUCAAGUUGUCAAGGAUCUUGAUGGAAGCUUUGCUUUUGUUAUCUAUGAUAGCAAGGCUGGUACUGUCUUUGUAGCACUGGGUUCUGAUGGUGGGGUGAAGCUGUACUGGGGUAUCGCAGCUGAUGGUUCUGUGGUUAUAUCCGAUGAUGUGGAAGUCAUAAAAGCAGGCUGUGCAAAAUCAUUUGCUCCCUUCCCAGCGGGUACUUGAAUGAAAUUUAAUUCUUUUCCCAUUUUAUUGUUUUUACCGUUGACAAAAACUAUGGUUAUAUUGGCGGAGAGAGCGUGGGACUUGACUCUGAAAUCAUGUUGGUGCAGGAUUUAUGUUCCACAGUGAAGGCGGAUUGAUGAGCUUUGAGCAUCCAAUGAACAAGAUAAGAGCAAUGCCAAGGGUUGAUAGCGAAGGAGUGCUGUGUGGGGCAAACUUCAAGGUUGACGUAUACACGAGGAUCAACAGCAUACCACGCAGAGGAAGUGAAGCUAAUUGGACCGAAUGGGACUCCCAUAACUGAAUAUUGGUUACCAUACUUUAAUUUGCGUGUAGGCCUAGGACUUUUACUUUUUCUUUUCUAUGUUGUCGUCUUUCUCCUUUCAAUUAAUGCUAAUAUGUUCCUGGAAAAGAAAGAAAAGCAUGCCAUGAGUUCAAGAACAAACUAUAUUUGCUUAUUUACGGA
Molecule: unclassified non-coding RNA, 1066 nt
Filed under: Hevea brasiliensis (rubber tree)
Lineage: Eukaryota; Viridiplantae; Streptophyta; Magnoliopsida; Malpighiales; Euphorbiaceae
Source: RNAcentral